Molecule: ribosomal RNA, 403 nt
Filed under: Fusobacteriota bacterium
Lineage: Bacteria; Fusobacteriati; Fusobacteriota
Description: Fusobacteria bacterium partial 16S ribosomal RNA
Rfam family: Bacterial small subunit ribosomal RNA
Source: RNAcentral
UGGGGAAUCUUGCACAAUGGGGGAAACCCUGAUGCAGCGACGCCGCGUGAGCGAUGAAGGUUUUCGAAUCGUAAAGCUCUGUCCUAUGGGAAGAUAAUGACGGUACCAUGGGAGGAAGCCCCGGCUAACUACGUGCCAGCAGCCGCGGUAAUACGUAGGGGGCGAGCGUUGUCCGGAAUUACUGGGCGUAAAGGGUUCGCAGGCGGCAUGGCAAGUCCGAUGUAAAAGGCGAAGGCUCAACCUUCGUAAGCAUCGGAAACUGUCAAGCUUGAGUGAAGGAGAGGCAAGUGGAAUUCCUAGUGUAGAGGUGGAAUGCGUAGAUAUUAGGAGGAAUACCGGUGGCGAAGGCGACUUGCUGGACUUAAACUGACGCUGAGGAACGAAAGCGUGGGUAGCAAACAGG